UUUACCAAAUCGUCAUUUCAGCCUGUUUCAUUUCUUUGUUUCUCAUCAACAUGUUGACUCUCUGAAGAGUCUCUUCUCUAGCUAGCUGUGUAAGAUUUUUGCUGAACGCUUAGGUAGGCAAACAUCACCCAACCCUAUCAAAUAAUGGAUGUUGGCAGUUCAGAGAAGGACAGGGGUUCUUGGAAUCUCACUUGAUGAAGCAGUAUUUCAUAAUAUGGUAAAAAUAUUCUUAUUCAAUAUGUGAAAUUACUUCAAAUUCCAGAAGAAGCCAGCUUCAGCAAUAUAUCAUUGAAUUUAUAUCUGAAAAAUGUACUAACCCCUCUAAUUGCACAAUGUGCAAAGCACUUUAAAAAAUAUAGUUUAUUCUGGCAAGAUAUGUUAGUAUGGGUCAGAGCAGCCAAGGGUCGCUUCUAGUGCUCUGUAUAUUUUAUUUACUAUCCAAUCAAAAGGCAUAGGUUAUGGUCCUUCUGAGAACUGUUUUUUAACCCAAACUAAAUUUUUAUGUUUUAGAUUAUUGUUAGUAAAAAUCUUAAUAAUUUGCCCUAAUUAGGUGGCCAAUUAGAGCAUAAUGUGGCUUUAGAAUAUUUUCAAGAUGUUUACAUGUUAUUGCAGUUUUGAACACGUUAAGCAAGUUAGGUUAACAACGUUGCCUCGUUGAACUCCUCAGGAAACUUGUGGUAAUAAACGUAUGAAAACCUCAGUCUA
Molecule: long non-coding RNA, 705 nt
Filed under: Bos taurus (domestic cattle)
Lineage: Eukaryota; Metazoa; Chordata; Mammalia; Artiodactyla; Bovidae
Description: long non-coding RNA NONBTAT008326
Source: RNAcentral